Molecule: ribosomal RNA, 624 nt
Filed under: Streptococcus gordonii
Lineage: Bacteria; Bacillati; Bacillota; Bacilli; Lactobacillales; Streptococcaceae
Description: bacterial LSU rRNA
Rfam family: Bacterial large subunit ribosomal RNA
Source: RNAcentral
GUUGGCUUAGAAGCAGCUAUUCAUUCAAAGAGUGCGUAAUAGCUCACUAGUCGAGUGACCCUGCGCCGAAAAUGUACCGGGGCUAAAACAAUUUACCGAAGCUGUGGAUACCUUUAUAGGUAUGGUAGGAGAGCGUCCUAUGUGUGAUGAAGGUAUACCGUGAGGAGUGCUGGAACGCAUAGAAGUGAGAAUGCCGGUAUGAGUAGCGAAAGACAGGUGAGAAUCCUGUCCACCGUAAGACUAAGGUUUCCAGGGUAAGGCUCGUCCGCCCUGGGUUAGUCGGGACCUAAGGAGAGACCGAAAGGUGUAUCCGAUGGUACAACAGGUUGAUAUUCCUGUACUAGAGUAUGUAGUGAUGGAGGGACGCAGAAGUGCUAACUAAAAGCAGACGAUUGGAAGAGUCUGUCUAAGGAGUGAGGUGUGAAUUGAGUCAAAUGCUUAAUUCUAUAACAUUGAGCUGUGAUGGGGAGCGAAGUUUAGUAGCGAAGUUAGUAACGUCACACUGCCAAGAAAAGCUUCUAGCGUUUAAACAUACUCUACCACGUACCGCAAACCGACACAGGUAGUCGAGGCGAGUAGCCUCAGGUGAGCGAGAGAACUCUCGUUAAGGAACUCGGCAAAAUG